GUAAUUCCAGCUCCAAUAGCGUAUAUUAAAGUUGUUGCAGUUAAAAAGCUCGUAGUUGAACUUUGGGUCUGGGUGACUGGUCUGCUCUACCGCAUGUACUGGAAACCCGGAUCUUUCCUUCUGGAGAACCGCAUGCACUUUACUGGGUGUGCCGGGGAACCAGGACUUUUACUUUGAAAAAAUUAGAGUGUUCAAAGCAGGCAUUUGCUCGAAUACAUUAGCAUGGAAUAAUAAAAUAGGACGUGCGGUUCUAUUUUGUUGGUUUCUAGGACCGCCGUAAUGAUUAAUAGGGAUAGUCGGGGGCAUCCGUAUUCGAUUGUCAGAGGUGAAAUUCUUGGAUUUUUCGAAGACGAACUACUGCGAAAGCAUUUGCCAAGGAUGUUUUCAUUAAUCAGGAACGAAAGUUGAGGGAUCGAAGACGAUCAGAUACCGUCGUAGUCUCAACCAUAAACUAUGCCGACUAGGGAUUGGGCGAUGUGUUAUUUGAGUUGCUCAGCACCUUACGAGAAAUUAAAGUUUUUGGGUUCUGGGGGGAGUAUGGUCGCAAGGCUGAAACUUAAAGGAAUUGACG
Molecule: ribosomal RNA, 571 nt
Filed under: Lamprospora maireana
Lineage: Eukaryota; Fungi; Ascomycota; Pezizomycetes; Pezizales; Pyronemataceae
Description: SSU rRNA
Rfam family: Eukaryotic small subunit ribosomal RNA
Source: RNAcentral